Molecule: ribosomal RNA, 819 nt
Filed under: uncultured bacterium
Lineage: Bacteria
Description: SSU rRNA
Rfam family: Bacterial small subunit ribosomal RNA
Source: RNAcentral
AGUCGACGGGAUUAAGUUUGUAGUAAUACAAGUUUAGUCUAGUGGCGAACGGGUGCGUAACACGUGAGUAAUCUGCCGAAAAGUGGGGGAUAGCUCGCCGAAAGGCGAAUUAAUACCGCAUAAGACAAGAGGGGGUAUCCCUUCGAAGUUAAAGUCGCAAGACGCUUUUUGAUGAACUCGCGGCCUAUCAGCUUGUUGGUGAGGUAACGGCUCACCAAGGCUAUGACGGGUAGCUGGUCUGAGAGGACGACCAGCCACACUGGAACUGAGACACGGUCCAGACACCUACGGGUGGCAGCAGUCGAGAAUUUUUCACAAUGGGGGAAACCCUGAUGGAGCGACGCCGCGUGGAGGAUGAAUGUCUUCGGAUUGUAAACUCCUGUCAUGCGAGAACAAGAAAGUGAUAGUAUCGCAAGAGGAAGAGACGGCUAACUCUGUGCCAGCAGCCGCGGUAAUACAGAGGUCUCAAGCGUUGUUCGGAUUUAUUGGGCGUAAAGGGUGCGUAGGUGGCGUGGAAAGUUGAGUGUGAAAUCCUGAGGCUUAACCUCAGAACUGCAUUCAAAACUCCCAUGCUAGAGGAAUGUAGAGGAGAGUGGAAUUCACGGUGUAGCAGUGAAAUGCGUAGAUAUCGUGAGGAAGACCAGUUGCGAAGGCGACUCUCUGGGCAUUUCCUGACACUGAGGCACGAAGGCUAGGGGAGCAAACGGGAUUAGAUACCCCGGUAGUCCUAGCAGUAAACGGUGCACGUUUGGUGUGGGCGGGCUCAGACCCCGUCCGUGCCGGAGCUAACGCGUUAAACGUGCCGCCUGGGAAGUACGG